GUAGUCCACGCUGUAAACGUUGGGCGCUAGGUGUGGGGGCCUCUCCGGUUCUCUGUGCCGUAGCUAACGCAUUAAGCGCCCCGCCUGGGGAGUACGGCCGCAAGGCUAAAACUCAAAGGAAUUGACGGGGCCCGCACAAGCGGCGGAGCAUGCGGAUUAAUUCGAUGCGACGCGAAGAACCUUACCUGGGUUUGACAUCGCCGGAAAUCCUGCAGAGAUGUGGGGGUCCUUUUAGGGUCGGUGACAGGUGGUGCAUGGCUGUCGUCAGCUCGUGUCGUGAGAUGUUGGGUUAAG
This 294-nucleotide ribosomal RNA is filed under the name uncultured bacterium. RNAcentral describes it as "partial 16S ribosomal RNA". It matches the Rfam family "Bacterial small subunit ribosomal RNA", at positions 790 to 1084 of the family's 1533-position model. The record is from RNAcentral.